GGACGAACGCUGGCGGCGUGCCUAAUACAUGCAAGUCGAGGCGCGGGAAGCGGACAAUCGACCCUUCGGGGUGUGCGUCCGUGGAACGAGCGGCGGAUGGGUGAGUAUCACGUGGGCAACCUGCCUGUAAGAUUGGGAUAACUCGCGGAAACGUGAGCUAAUACCGAAUGAAGUCUUUCGCCGCCUGGUGAAAGGAUGAAAGAUGGCUCUUGAGCUAUCACUUACAGAUGGGCCCGCGGCGCAUUAGCUAGUUGGUGGGGUAAAGGCCUACCAAGGCGACGAUGCGUAGCCGACCUGAGAGGGUGAUCGGCCACACUGGGACUGAGACACGGCCCAGACUCCUACGGGAGGCAGCAGUAGGGAAUCUCCCGCAAUGGACGAAAGUCUGACGGAGCAACGCCGCGUAAGUGAUGAAGGUCUUCGGAUCGUAAAACUCUGUUGUCAGGGAAGAACAAGUUGUGUUCUAACAGGACAUGACCUUGACGGUACCUGACCAGAAAGCCCCGGCUAACUACGUGCCAGCCGCUGC
RNAcentral lists this ribosomal RNA (529 nucleotides) under uncultured bacterium. RNAcentral describes it as "bacterial SSU rRNA". It matches the Rfam family "Bacterial small subunit ribosomal RNA", at positions 27 to 518 of the family's 1533-position model. The record is from RNAcentral.